Molecule: long non-coding RNA, 683 nt
Filed under: Nicotiana benthamiana
Lineage: Eukaryota; Viridiplantae; Streptophyta; Magnoliopsida; Solanales; Solanaceae
Description: long non-coding RNA (NBEN_LNC017011)
Source: RNAcentral
UUUAACAAGUUCCAUGAGAGAACCAGAUAAGGAACUUGAAACAAUUAUCUUCUUUGUGUUCAGAGUAACUAGUCAGAUAUCUGGUUCAACUCUCAACGAAUUCAAAUAAGGAAACAACAAAGGGAACAAAUAUGGACCAAUACCUCCGCUCGCAAUAUAAGUCAACUCUACAACUGUUAAAAUUAUUGCACUAUACUCGCAAUAGUGUUGCAGUACUGUUGAAGCAUGCAGCGCACCGGACACUCCCUUGCAUAAUCUUUAAUAUUCUCACACAUACAUUAUCAACAUGAAGCAAGGGGGUUUCACUCAACACUUGCAAAACCUAAAACAUUCAUCUUCUCAAGUGUGCAACCACCCUUAUUUCCACUGAGGCAUUGAAGAACAAAUCAGCAACAGAACAAGGAACUGUUCCCAACAUUGAUUAUGUCCUAAAACAUUCAUCUUCUCAAGUGUUCAUGCGCCUUUAUUUCCUCUGAGGCAUUGAAGAACAAAUCAGCAACAGAACAAGGACCCAUUCCCAACAAUGAUUUUGUGUCUUUGUUUCAUGUUAUUUAUUUGUAAUUCCUACGCAACUUUUUAGAAGCAUUUAGUAGGACAUCCUUGAAUCCAUUAUUGCUUUGGUUGUUUUGACUAGAGUUAGUCAAGUGUGUAGCUUUGUAAUAGAGUUAUUAUAAAGAGGUUUG